AAUAGUAGCUAAAUUAGAGAUCAACGUUCAUCUAUUUUACCAUAAUUUGGAGUAUUAUAAUGUCUCUAAGUUUUGAAAUAAAAGAAAAAAUUAUUUAUAAUUUCGGCCGUAACGCU
RNAcentral lists this non-coding RNA (116 nucleotides) under Candidatus Mikella endobia. Its description in RNAcentral is "S15". It matches the Rfam family "Ribosomal S15 leader". Rfam says of the family: The E. coli Ribosomal S15 gene 5' UTR can form two alternative structures. Lineage: Bacteria; Pseudomonadati; Pseudomonadota; Gammaproteobacteria; Enterobacterales; Enterobacteriaceae. The record is from RNAcentral.